ACAAUUCUAGCAGGACUCAACUGUCAAGGGCAGAUCAAAGUCCAGAGAGCGUGGCAAAGGGGACAAGCACUCUUCUGAACAUUAGGCUCACAGGUGCCCACAAGCACUCCGAUCAAAUCGUACCUAUGGCAUCGACAAAAGAAUGCUGGGACAUGUGGGCACCAUAUGAAGGUGCCAAGUCCAAGGCAGACCCUGACCCUCACUGGUGUUCCCUGGCAUUCUCAACACUAGAGGGGAUUGAGCAGUGCUGAGCCAAAAGCACUGGGUGGCCAGGAGAAGGGACUGUCCCUCAGCAGGGCAGAAUCAAAUCCAGCUGCAAGGGCAGCAGCCACCUCUACAGAUGAGGUUAGGAGAAGCUAUGGGCUCGGUGAGGAGGCGGAACCCUGGACUUCAGUCAUCUGCAUCCAUUCAUCAACUGACACAGCGAGAGCACUUUGCCACCGCCUGCAUCACAGCCUCGCAGAAGAACAGUGCUGUGCCCGCCCCGCAGAAGUCUCCUUACCGAGUGCUGUCUGAUACUGUGCUUUGGAGCUCUCUGCUGAAUCACGUUUUCAAUAGCUAGAACUUGCCCAAAUGUCCCUGAAACUGAGUGUACCAAAAAAUUGUCUAAAAGCAGAUCUUAAUAAAUUUAGAUAAACGAUAA
Molecule: long non-coding RNA, 643 nt
Organism: Meriones unguiculatus (Mongolian gerbil)
Lineage: Eukaryota; Metazoa; Chordata; Mammalia; Rodentia; Muridae
Exons: 3
Source: RefSeq, a predicted model, not a curated record